GACGAACGCUGGCGGCGUGCUUAACACAUGCAAGUCGUGCGGUAAGGCCCUUUCGGGGGUACACGCUCGGGGAACGGGCGAGUAACACGCGAGCAACUUGCCUUCCACUGUCGGAUAACUGCCUGCAACGAUCGGUAGCACCGGCUAGAACUUCCCUACGCCUGUGGGGUGGUGGAUAGACAUUGGGGGGGGGGGGAUGGGCUCGCGGUUUAUCAGCUUGUUGGUGGGGUGUUGGCGUACCAAGGCGUUGACGGGUAGCCGGCCUGAGAGGGUGACCGGCCACACUGGGACUGAGACACGGCCCAGACUCCUACGGGAGGCAGCAGUGGGGAAUAUUGGACAAUGGGCGGAAGCCUGAUCCAGCAACGCCGCGUGAGGGAUGACGGCCUUCGAGUUGUAAACCUCUUUCGCCUGCGACGAAGCGAGAGUGACGGUAGCAGGUAAAGAAGCACCGGCCAACUACGUG
RNAcentral lists this ribosomal RNA (466 nucleotides) under uncultured bacterium. Its description in RNAcentral is "partial 16S ribosomal RNA". It matches the Rfam family "Bacterial small subunit ribosomal RNA", at positions 28 to 507 of the family's 1533-position model. The record is from RNAcentral.